Aedes albopictus (Asian tiger mosquito) is the source of this 649-nucleotide long non-coding RNA. RefSeq lists it as uncharacterized. The record is from RefSeq and is a predicted model, not a curated record. The transcript has 2 exons. Lineage: Eukaryota; Metazoa; Arthropoda; Insecta; Diptera; Culicidae.
UAUGGCAAUCCUAGUAUGCCAACAGUGUAACCCAACCGUCAAGGUAAAUCAAAAUGCUGCAUCAAAACAUCCAUCGACUACCGGAUCGUUCAACAAGUGCUUCAAACAACUACAGCAUCAACGACGACGAAAACAAUCCCAAACCCUCCCACAAACUGAAUGACUCACAGCGAACACUUUUGAAAACAUUCGGAUCGUUCAUUUGUAUCAUGCUGGUGUUCUAUCUCUGCUGGCUUGUUUUACACCAUUCGGAACAAUAGCUAGCGAGCACCCGGCACUCGACAGCAUCUACCGCACCGCCAUCCGAAUACAAGAUCGCCACCUUAACCGGAUACACUCGCUUUGGGAUCCAACAACCAACAACGCAAUCAGCGCACGCGGAAAAAGGAAUAAAAUCCAAUCGCCACCGCACCGUGGUGGAAAACCUCAAAAAUUGGAAAAGUCAUUAGCGGCAGCUGGUGGUCCGUGUUGGGGGGUGAUUAUUAGCAUUUUAUCGAUGGGAGUAGCUAUUGCACGGUUUGGCAUUGGAACUAAACAGAAAAAUCAUCGGCUGUCGGUGAAAGGGAAUUGCUGCGAAUUUAAAUGCCAUUUAGGCUUUGUUACAAGAUGAGAUCUUCCGUUAUCAACGUUUGAAUGCAAAAUGUAGAAA